CACGUAGGCACCAAGCGUUAUCCGGAUUUAUUGGGCGUAAAGAGCUCGUAGGCGGUUCGGUAAGUCGGGUGUGAAAACUCUGGGCUCAACCCAGAGAGGCCACCCGAUACUGCUGUGACUAGAGUGCGGUAGGGGGGCGGGGAAUUCCUGGUGUAGCGGUGAAAUGCGCAGAUAUCAGGAGGAACACCAGCGGCGAAGGCGCCGCUCUGGGCCGUAACUGACGCUGAGGAGCGAAAGCAUGGGUAGCAAACAGG
RNAcentral lists this ribosomal RNA (254 nucleotides) under uncultured bacterium. RNAcentral describes it as "partial 16S ribosomal RNA". It matches the Rfam family "Bacterial small subunit ribosomal RNA", at positions 524 to 776 of the family's 1533-position model. The record is from RNAcentral.